RNAcentral lists this ribosomal RNA (550 nucleotides) under uncultured bacterium. RNAcentral's name for it is "bacterial SSU rRNA". It matches the Rfam family "Bacterial small subunit ribosomal RNA", at positions 69 to 652 of the family's 1533-position model. The record is from RNAcentral.
AAGUAGUGCCUAUGCGCUAUUUAGUGGCAAACGGGUGAGUAACACGUAGCUUAGCUGUCCUAGAGUGGGGGAUAGCCGCGGGAAGCCGCGGGUAAUACCGCAUGUGAUCUACGGAUUAAAGCUUAAUGCGCUUUAGGAGGUGGCUGCGGCCCAUCAGGUUGUUGGCGGGGUAAUGGCCCACCAAGCCUAUGACGGGUAUCCGGCCUGAGAGGGUGAUCGGACACAUUGGAACUGAGACACGGUCCAGACUCCUACGGGAGGCAGCAGCUAGGAAUUUUCCGCAAUGGACGAAAGUCUGACGGAGCAACGCCGCGUGAAGGAUGAAGGUCUUUAGGGAUUGUAAACUUCUUUUAUAUGAGACGAGUAAGGACGGUAUCAUAAGAAUAAGUCCCGGCUAACUACGUGCCAGCAGCCGCGGUAAUACGUAGGGGGCUAGCGUUGUUCGGAAUUACUGGGUAUAAAGGGUGCGCAGGCGGAUUUCUAAGCAAGAGGUGAAAUGUCAAGGCUCAACCAUGGCACUGCCUUUUGAACUGGUUAUCUGGAGUACAGA